GGCAUUUUUAGUUAGUUCACACUUCACAUCGUUAUUCUUGACUGUGUAUAUAUCUUAAUAGUUCACACUUCACAUUGUUAUUUUCACUCUAUUAUUCAGUGUUUGUUACCCACUUCACAUGCUUAUGUAGCUAACACUUCCCUGAUGAUUAUAUAUGUCAUGUUGCUGUUUGGAUUUAAUUUCUUGCUAGGAAAUAUGGUGGAAUCAAGAUUGAAGAAAUAGAUGGUAUCCAAACCAAUGACACAGAUUUGGAAGAUGACCAGCUGUUGAUAUAAUUUGAAGAAGAUUUUGAUGACAAUGAUUCAACUAAUGAAGAUGUUCCAAAUGAUCAUAUUGAACCUGAUUAUGAUUAAAUUUGUUUAUUGUUUUUUUUUCUUCUUUCUUUUGGUUGAAAAGGUGAUUAUUGUUUUUUGUGAAAGUCAUUAUUCACACUGUUAUAUCAUUGUUACUUCUUUGUAUUUAAACAUAUGUGAUUAAUCUCUAUGUCUUUAUCAUUACUUUAGAUGUCAGGUAUUGGUAAACCAAGAGGACUGCAUAAACGAUUUGUGGAUAAAGGGAAUGGAAAGAAAGUUCCAACCAUUUCUACUAGUUUGGAGCAAAGGAACACUGCUAUGCACACAACUUCAGUGUCACACUAGGAAGGGAAGACAACUUUGUUGAUAAGAGAUCAAGUGAUGCAUAUGUGAGUAUCUAUUACAAAAAAGCCUAAACUUGUAGAAAAAAGCCUUGACUUUGGUUGCUGUGAUUGUGGCCUUUUAUUUUGCGGUGAUUGUGUCCUUAAUGAUAAGAGAUCAAGUUAUCUGAUAUACUGUUGUGAUUGUGGCCUUUUAUUUGCUGUAAUUUAUGACCUGCACAUGUAUGUAUAGAGUUUGCUUUGACAGUUUGUCCUUUUUGUCAUGUGUUUCUGUUCUUGCUAUUUUUUUAGUUUGUUGUCCAGUUGUUUUAGUAAACUUGUUNNNNNNNNNNNNNNNNNNNNNNNNGAGUGUCGAUUUGUGAAUAAAACUUGUUCCCAUGUUUCUGUUUCGAAGUUUUUGCUGGAUUAGCAUUUAUCCAAGGGCUGCUACUUUAUGGUGGAGUUGUUUUGUUGGUUUUUUAGUGUGUAUGUAGGAAGAAUUUUUAGUGGGAGUUGUUCUGUUUGUAGAGUUUGUUAUGUGUAUCUAACUUCAUUACAUGUUAUAUUUAUGUUUAUUUUUUCCUAGGAUAACAUUGUAAAUCUAUGUUCACAAGUUGAGACUAGUGGCACUCAACCCAAGCCAAUUGGUAUGGAUGGAAGCAUGCUCACCCAUGGCUCAACAUCUCAAUCAAAUAAAUAUUCAAAUUAUGUUGAUAUUGUUCAUGGCAUGAGUGGAGAGGUUGAUGCGGGACUACGACAACAAUUGAUAUUUGGAUUUAAUGGAUUUGGAUGAAGAUGAUCCUUCUGUUGGUAUUGUUAGUCGUGGAAGCAAUGCCAUUGAUGGUUCAAAUGCUAAUGAGUAGUAAUAUUGAUGACUUUGGAUUAGAACUUAAAAAUUAUUGAAAGUUUGAUAUUUUGUAGGCACAUUCAAGUUAUUUGAACUUUAACCUUUUGAAUGUAAUGAUAAAAGUUUGAUAUUUGGAGAUACUUGUGUUUAUGAUAAUUAAUGAUUACAAAUUGAAUUUGUAGUUCGAUAUGAUACUUUAAAUUGAUGAUGCAACACUAUUUAAUGUGCAUUGUGUAU
Molecule: long non-coding RNA, 1697 nt
Filed under: Trifolium pratense (red clover)
Lineage: Eukaryota; Viridiplantae; Streptophyta; Magnoliopsida; Fabales; Fabaceae
Description: long non-coding RNA (TPRA_LNC001929)
Source: RNAcentral